Molecule: long non-coding RNA, 1939 nt
Organism: Polyodon spathula (Mississippi paddlefish)
Lineage: Eukaryota; Metazoa; Chordata; Actinopteri; Acipenseriformes; Polyodontidae
Exons: 3
Source: RefSeq, a predicted model, not a curated record
GGAAAAUGCACUGAAGCUCUGUCCUGUUCACAGGGAAAGAACGUCCAUUUACCAGGGAUAAGAAGGGUGUACUUAAAUAAAAUGGGAGGUCCUUCCUAAGCUGCAUCAGAUGGAUUUCAAAACCAAGACACGGAAAAGUUUCAGUGAAAAUGUGGAAAAGCUAUUGAGAAGGGGUGUUAGAAGCUUUGUAUGCUGAAAACAGAACAUGCUGAAUAUAAGGAGAAAAAACAAGAUGACAUCGUAAGAAAAAAAAAAUGAUUGAAAUCUCAUGUUUUAAAACAGCAACGCUGCUAUGCUAUUACAGUACCGGUGUACAUCUGGAAUGUAAAUGAUGCCACGUUAAAAUCCAAGGCAUGGGGAUGAAAAGGAGAGAGAGGAGUGGGGAACGACAAUCGAUGCCCCGAGCAAGCAACUAAACCAGGAGACUCCAGCAGCCUGAAGAGAAUAGAAUAAACCAGAAUCUCACCCCCAGGUCGGACUGCUCAGGCCAAAAAAUGGCAGUGGAAUUGCAGUCGAAUCUGAUGGGAGUCACAGCCUGAUGCAGUGCCAGUAUAUGCAGGGAGAGCCCAGUCUGAGGUUCCAGAAGGGCAACGUCAAGAUGGUACCCCUCAGACGCAUUGAGGGCAGGAGUGCGAUCGACGGGGAAGAGUCGAGCGAGGACCGCGAAGAGAGGAUCUUAGCCAUGCUGGGGAUCGUAGGGACAGUCCUCAACCUGCUGGUGAUUAUAUUCGUUUAUAUCUACACCACCAUCUGACUCAGCAGGAAGCAACAAGGAGACAACAAGCAAUGAAGAAGGCAGUUUGCACAAUGGAAAGUUACAGCAUAAUGACGUAAGCUGAUACUGUAAAUACAGCAAGGAAUUUUCAAGUGACCUUUGUGGAUAUAGCAGAGCAAUUGGAAGACUGGGGGCGGGGUUAUUUCAUGAGUAAGCAUAAGCACAAUUGACAACAGAGUCUGACAAGAGCAGUCUGUCGAAUUGUAAAUGGCAAGUAUUAUGGCUUUGUGGGUGGUAGAAGUUUGGUCGAGCUCUGAAGCUGACAAACCCCAAAACCGUGAAACACGACUUAGAGUACAGGGGUCCCAGGACUCAACGGGGUUGAACCUACACUCUCUUACAAAUAUCUUGUUUUCUACCAAUAAGCUUAAACCGGAGAAGACAUAAUGAAAGAUGAAACGGCCCAGAAUCGACUUUAUGCCGUACUUCCAACAAAGGGAAUAUGCAUUUAUACUGUUUCCACGCAAAUGUGGAUCCUGGAACUGCCAAAGCUUCAUUAUUAUUAUUAUUAUUAUUAUUAUUAUUAUUAUUAUUAUUAUUAUUGUGAUUUGCCAGAUAUGUGGUAAUAUGAAUAUAAAUUCAUAUUGAAAAUUAUAUGAUUUAAAAAAAAAAUUAAAACCUCCAAUAUAGCUGUCCAAUUUCACAUUUUGAAAUGAUAUGUAGCAAAAGGGUUUCCUUAAAAAAAAAAAAAAAAAAAAAAAACAAUACUUUUAUAGUGUUUCCAAAACCAACAGAUUUUUGCUCCCGUGUAAAACUUACACCACAAUUUUCAAGCAGAAUACAGACCUGUUAAUACACUACAAUUAAACCAGUAAGAAAUGUUACAUACACCAGUUCCAACUUUCCAUAUCUUGUUUUCUUGUAUUACUUUGCAAGAAUGUGCACAUUUCUAAUUUAAAAAAAUAAAUAAAUCAAUGAAAAGCAACUGACACAAAUGUUCAGAACAUGAAAUAGGGACCAGUGAUGAUUUUAAGGUAACUACAGACUUUAUAAACCUAGUUUGUCAUUCAGAAAGGCCAGCAAUGUACUUUAAGUGUGAAAAAAAAACAAUUAUGAUCGCAAAAAGAGCUAAGAGAAAAAACUGUUGUUCAGAAAUAUUAUACCGAAAAUAAAGAAGUACAAUAUCUUUUACUACAUGCAAAUGAAAUAAAUCUUGUUAAUAUA